UAAAUGCUUCAUUCCAGGACUGGGUCACUCUUUUAUUCAGCUUGAAGUUGGUAAGGUGCUGUUUCUCCACCUUUCAUUGUGAGUAUUAACAUAACCAGCAGGAGAGUGAUGUUAGACUGUAAGUCUGCAGGCUGGUAUCCAGAGCCUGAGGUGUUGUGGCUGGAUGGUGAGGGAAAGCUCCUCUCUGCUGGACCUACAGAGACAGUCAGAGGUCCUGAUGACCUCUAUACUGUCAGCAGCAGAGUGACUGUGGAGAAGAGACACAGCAACAGCUUCACCUGUAGAGUCCAUCAGAGGAACAUCAACCAGACCACAGAGACAACUACUCACAUAUCAGCUGAUGACAGCGAGGUGUCAACUGAUGUUCGUGUCCACUGGAUCGCUGCUGCAGUUUUCAGUGUUUUUGUAAUUGUAGUCCUGCUCACUGUGCACAUAGUUGUUGCAAUUCAUAAACAAAGUUAACUACGCUAAACAUCAAUGUAGCCAUUUCACUCUGUGAGGUAAAUUCACAGAUCUGUGAUACUGAAUUAAAGUUCAUAAUUUAAAUGGCUGAAGCUGCUACAGUCAGUAUUUUUAUGUUAAUGGUUGAUCGCAUAACUACGAUGAAAACUUGCUGCUCAUAUACGAUCGCUACAGCGAUGAAUCCACAAAGAGCUGCCACCUGCAACAUGGUAUAAAUAAAGAAAAAUAAACUUGUGUGUUUAAUCUGCUGCUGCUGCUGUGACAGUGUAAAAGUGCAUAAAUAAAUCAAUCUGGUCUCUUAUGCCAUUCAAACUGA
Molecule: non-coding RNA, 778 nt
Organism: Epinephelus lanceolatus (giant grouper)
Lineage: Eukaryota; Metazoa; Chordata; Actinopteri; Perciformes; Serranidae
Source: RefSeq, a predicted model, not a curated record